Molecule: ribosomal RNA, 644 nt
Filed under: Hepatozoon canis
Lineage: Eukaryota; Apicomplexa; Hepatozoidae
Description: SSU rRNA
Rfam family: Eukaryotic small subunit ribosomal RNA
Source: RNAcentral
AAUCUCAACUUUAUUAGAAGAGACGCAUUUAUUAGAUAAAAAGCCAAUGCAUGCUUUUACAGUAUGGAAAUUGGUGAUUUAUAAUAACUUGGCAAAUCGCAAAGUGAAAACAGGCGAUAAAUCAUUCAAGUUUCUGACCUAUCAGCUUUCGACGGUAUGGUAUUGGCUUACCGUGGCAGUGACGGUUAACGGGGGAUUAGGGUUCGAUUCCGGAGAGGGAGCCUGAGAAACGGCUACCACAUCUAAGGAAGGCAGCAGGCGCGCAAAUUACCCAAUUCUAACAGUUUGAGAGAGGUAGUAACAAGAAAUAACAAUACAAGGCAAUUAAAAUGCUUUGUAAUUGGAAUGAUAGAAAUUUAAACCCUUUUUAAAGUAUCAAUUGGAGGGCAAGUCUGGUGCCAGCAGCCGCGGUAAUUCCAGCUCCAAUAGCGUAUAUUAAAAUUGUUGCAGUUAAAAAGCUCGUAGUUGAAGUUCUGCUAAAAGUAACCGGUCUGCUUUUAAUAAAAGUGGUAUCUUGGUGUGUAUUUAGCAAUGAUGUCCUUUGAAGUGUUUUAUUACUUUAUUGUAAUAAAGCAUAUUCAGGAAAUUUUACUUUGAGAAAAUUAGAGUGUUUCUAGCAGGCCGACGCUUUGAAUACUGCAGCA